RNAcentral lists this long non-coding RNA (2354 nucleotides) under Capra hircus (goat). Its description in RNAcentral is "lncRNA (ENSCHIG00010010750.1)". Lineage: Eukaryota; Metazoa; Chordata; Mammalia; Artiodactyla; Bovidae. The record is from RNAcentral.
GCCUCCAUAGAACAAAUUUAAAACACAACUGGCAUGGUAAUGUACGGAGAGCUUCAGUGGCACCUUACCACCCACCCUCCGAGACCUGUCCUAAGAUUUAAGACAGUCUCAGAAAGCUGCACUGCCCCCAGCACAGCUUUCAUUCAAAUCAGCUUUUCCAAGGCCACUUUCGUCCUGAAGUCAAUGCAUGUAUUUACUGUUUGACAGUAAACCCGCUCUGCCUUCUCCACGUCCAAGGCUGUGCAUUCGUCUAAUUAGUGUCGUGUAUGUUUUCCUUUUAUUUUUUCCAAUAAAAAAGCAGUGGGAUGAAAAUUGCUUUGAUAUAUAGCAGGUAACAUUGAAGCUAUUCCAUAGCACUUAACUGUAGUGAAUACUGUGUCACCAAUCCUGAAAUCAAUUUAAUGUUUAAUGCAAAUCCAUUACAUGGUGCUAUUACAGGCUGACAAAAUGAUUUACACAAAUGUGACAACUUGGGCUCAAUUCACUCUGCUUUCCAACAGUGUAAAUGCAUAGCAGUGUUUAUCUGCAUGAGAACUAUGCACUAACCUAUCUGAAGAAAAAAACUAUAUCAACUUUGGUAUCUACUUUCCGUUUACUUCAAUCCUUGCCUUUUUGGUCAUUGUUAUAAUGCCAGCUUUAGGACAGAAAGAAUUAUAAGAAAACCAGCAUAAUACCUGAUAUAUUAAAAUGUAGUGCCUGUGAAAUCUGUAUUAUAUUGCUCUUCUGAAGUAAGAUUUUUCUACACCGGUAGCCUUCGCUGUCUGUCAGUCAGGACCUUCUGGUAUAGGUGAUGUAAAAUAACCGUACAAUAUUAAUGCAUGCUAUUCCAUAAUGCUUAGUGAACUGUAUGAAUAUUACUCAAGAUUAUGUUAGUCUUUUUUUCUGACUUGGUUCUUGUCAGCUAGGUUUAAAGGUAUUUCACUGAGAACGCAAAUUCUGUCUUUUCUUGAUUUCGGCAGUUUUCAGUAUUUUGGAGGUAUACAUUUACUUAAAUUCAGUAUUACUUGUGUUUUUGUUUUCGUUUUUGUUUUUUGUUUUCUUUUUCCUAGGGGACAAGCAUGGGUGUUUGAUUUCAGAAAUCAGUCCCUGGCAAGACUUUUGUCUCAAAACAACCAUUUGAAUUUCAAGAACUCUGCUCUGAAGACACUGAGGAUAUUUCAAAAUGAGGGACAUUUCCCUUCACCCUCGACUGAAGCUUUGCCGAUACUGAAGCGUGAAACUGUGUGAAUAAUCGAUAUUUAUAAAAUCACUAGAAUUAAAUACUACUUAGAAAAUCUUUGUGAUCUUGAAUUUUUCAAGAGUUCUUAGCUACAACAGCAAAAGAAUAAUCUAUUUAAAAUAAUAUAUUAGNNNNNNNNNNNNNNNNNNNNNNNNNNNNNNNNNNNNNNNNNNNNNNNNNNNNNNNNNNNNNNNNNNNNNNNNNNNNNNNNNNNNNNNNNNNNNNNNNNNUAGCUACAACAGCAAAAGAAUAAUCUAUUUAAAAUAAUAUAUUAGUAUUCAUUAAAAUUAAAAUAUUUUGCUUGUCAAAAUAUAUUGUUAAGAGAAAGAUAACAAAGCCAGAGAUGGGGGAAAUAUUUCCAAAGCUUAUGGCCCAACAAAGAACUUGUGUCCAGUAUAUACAGAGAACUUUCAAAUGGUAAUAAAACAAACAAUCCAACUGAAAAUAGGCAAAAGAUUUGAAUAAGCACAUUAUCAACAAAAAACAGCAAUUUUACUGUAUGCAAAUAAAAAUACAAUCUUUUAAAUGUAGGAGACUUAGCUAAACCAUAUUUAUAUAACAUUUUGUACCCUGGAUAUAAAUCUUAGCAGAUAAAAAGGCUGAAAUCAAUACACUAAAGAUCUAACUCAAGAAUUUUUUGCUUUUUAUUUAAUUUAGUUAAUUAAUUUAUUUGGCUGUGCCACAUGGCAUGCAGGAUCAUGGGUCCCCUGACAAGAAUCUAAACUGUGCCCCGUGCGGUAGAGACAGGGUGUCUUAACCACUGGACCACCACCGAAGUCCCAAGAACGUUUUCUUUUUUUUAAUCGCUAAAUUAUACCCAAAGAAAGUAGAUAGGAGGGAAAGAUAAAUGGAAUAAAAUAACAAAAGACAAAGCAAGCAUGCAAUAGACGUCAACAAAUUCGUAAAACAAAGAGUAACAGUGAAUAUUCUGAGGAAAAUGACAGGUGAAAGAGGGGUUUAAAUACACAAAUAAGCUAUGCCAAGAAUGAAAAUGGGACAUAACUAUAGAUAAGGUGGUCAUUAAAAAUAAUAUAGUAAGACAAGUAGAAGCACAAGCUGGAAUCCAGAUUGCUGGGAGAAAUAUGAAUAACCUCAGAUAUGCAGAAGACACCACCGUUAUGGCAGAAAGUGAAGA